This is a long non-coding RNA of Gasterosteus aculeatus aculeatus (three-spined stickleback), 2584 nucleotides long. The record is from Ensembl. Lineage: Eukaryota; Metazoa; Chordata; Actinopteri; Perciformes; Gasterosteidae.
GCACGCUGAGUGUGUGAAUAGGUGCAAGCAAUUUGUGAGCAAAUGAGGAACAAACUCUCACAUUCACUUGUAAAGUAUUCAGGCUCAAUGCUGUGGCCAAACGGAUCUAAAAACAUCGCAGGCUCUAAUAGAUGUAUGUUUCUGUGGUUUGGUUGUGUGAUUCACCGGAAAUGCUAUCUGUGGUAUUCUGAGAAGCAGUUCGGCAAAAUGAUACGUGAGUACAUCAAAGUUCACUUAGACAAGCAUCUUCUUUGGAGUCGGUCUUAUAGGAUUGUUCUUCAUCAUGGCUGGACGCCUGCUGUUUGUCACCCUCAUGUAUUCCUGUGCCAAUACUAAAACACAAGCUCGUCCUCAACUCAUAAUGAAUUCAGCGGUGAUCUCAGAGACGGAAACAGUCACAUUGGACUGUCGAGCUCCAUCAUAUCCUACUGUCCACCAGUGUUAUUUCACCAUUAUCGGAGCAAAACAUGCCAAAGGCUUCACUUGUGUGCAGACACUGACAGGAACUGAACUGUUGAGGAUGUCAGACCAGAGAGCACCUGCUGAGGUUAAAGUGGAUUGUUAUUACACUGUAAUGGUUGGAGACGUGAAUCAUCCAUCUGCACACAGUGUCACAUCAUCCAUCACAAUCCAAAAUGUUGUCAAGUCGAGCACGACGCAGACUAAGACGGCAUCUGCUGUGACCACAGCAGGUCUCAGUGCUUCCAGGCCUGUAACUCGUAUAAAGCAAACACCAGAUCAAACCUUUGGACCAAGAAACUCUGGUAGUUUUAGUUCUCCUCCCCUCACAACAGACAAACCAACAUCAGAUGUUGUCGAGUCGAGCACGACGCAGACUAAGCCGGCAUCUACUGUGACCACAGCAGGUCUCAGUGCUUCCACGCCUGUAACUCGUAUAAAGCAAACAUCAGCAGAUCAAACCUUUGGACCAAGAAACUCUGGUAGUUUUAGUUCUCCUCCCCUCACAACAGACAAACCAACAUCAGAAAUGCAGAGAUGGAUGUUCAUGGUGAUUGCGAUUUGUUUGGGAGGUUUUUUCUCUAUUUCCUUACUGGGACUGGGCCUUCUGUGUAGCAAAAGAACAUUGGGUAAGAACUUGACUUUUGUGUCAGAUAUGAACUGUCAAAGAAUUUGAGCAGAGGGUCAAAGAGACCCUUUUGAACACAACUUGCAUGUAACUCUGUUUAGAGAACAGCAUCGUUUACCACAUUUGCAUUAAUGUGAUUGGAUGUUAGUAGUUCCUCACCUGUAAGUAUUCCAGAGAGAGCUAAUGCCAAAACAAGCACAACUUCCAAGGAAACUGCCUCAUGUAACAAUAUGCUUUUCUCUCUCUUAUAUUUUUCAGAAAUAAGUUCUUACAGGAGGUCACAAGCUGAUGUCACUGGUAAUAUGCACACGUAGUCAGACAUCAUCACUAUUAUUUAUAUGCAUAUUUAUAUUUUGGUCUUUCAGGGUAUUCGGGUGUGUUUUACUUGAUGUUGCAGUUGUCAUAAUAUUACAUUACAUGUCAUUUAGCUGACUCUUUUAUCCAAAGCGACUUACAUUGCAUUUUUAACCCAUGUUCUUCUAUAUUUUUAACCCAUCCCGGACAUUGGGAGUAGUGUGCAGCCGUAAAGGCGCCCGGGUGUCUUGCUUAGGAACACUUCUACAUUGGGACAUGGAGCAGCCAGGGUUCGAACCGCCUUGCGGUUCCCGGCACACCCUGUCUACUUCAUGCGCCACCGUCGCUAAUAUGAGAUAUCUUGAACAUGGAGAAUUGGUAAUAAAUAUAUAAUUUGUCAAGAUGGAUUACUUUUUUCAUUUAUUUAUGAAAUCCUCUCAAUUCCUCUUGCCUCCUAUUGAUUGGAGCUUUUAUUUCCAAAAUACCUUCCUGGCUUGUUUCAAAUUAUAUUAAAUUUAGGGGCGCACAACAGAUUCUUAUAAAGAUCAGGUGGAGCGUAUUGUUGGCUUUUUACAAAAAACCAACUUGACAAAAAGCAUCAUCUUUGUGUGCCGUUGUGUCACAUUUGCAGGUUCUGUGAAACUGGAGGAGCAAACACUUACACAUGAGAACCACGCCAUGUUCCAAAUAUACGCCAAUAUCCCCAACGAGCCACCUGCAUCAGCCAAACAGGACGCAGUGUAAAGCAACCUGAAGCCACAUUGAAACACAAGCAUUUUAUACUGUGUAGAGGAACGGUUGGGCGGACAGUCAAAACAUUUUUUUUUAAAUCAGUUUCUUUUACAUUUUUUAAACAUAAUAUUGUUUGUGAAAUUGCAAUGCAAAUUGUAACUGUAACAAACGACAGGUCUCAGCUGGCUUUAAGAUAAUGUUAGCACACUUCAUAUUUUGUUUUACAGGGAGAAAAGAUUUUAGAAUUUUGACAUAGAAAUACAAACAACUGAUGUUUCUUAUGUUUUGCAGUUAAGCUGCAAAAGUUGCAAUCGUCACCAUUAUUAUUUUGUGAAGUUGGAGGCUGUUGAUUAGCACCACAUUGUAGACAACUUCUUUCUCUUCAAAGUCAAAAUAGUAUAAGCUUGCUUCUUUAGUACUUGUAACACAAUGCCUGCUCAAUUAAACAAAUACAAAAAUAAGAUGACCGUG